UGAGUCUCCUUCCAUAUGAGCUGCGUUAUCGUUUGUAUGGUGAAUGGGAGAAGGAUGAUGAGCAAUUUCCAAUGCUUUUGGCUGCAAGGCAAACAGCAAAGUUGGACACUAGGAGGAUCCUGAAGCGCCUUGCAAAAGAAAAUCUAAAGCAGCUUGGUCGAAUGGUUGCCAAACUUGCUCAUGCCAAUCCAAUGACAGUAUUGCGAACAAUUGUUCACCAGAUUGA
This 226-nucleotide unclassified non-coding RNA is filed under the name Hevea brasiliensis (rubber tree). The record is from RNAcentral. Lineage: Eukaryota; Viridiplantae; Streptophyta; Magnoliopsida; Malpighiales; Euphorbiaceae.